Molecule: ribosomal RNA, 465 nt
Filed under: uncultured bacterium
Lineage: Bacteria
Description: partial 16S ribosomal RNA
Rfam family: Bacterial small subunit ribosomal RNA
Source: RNAcentral
GAUGAACGCUGGCGGCGUGCUUAACACAUGCAAGUCGAACGGAAAGGCCCAGGCUUGCUUGGGUGCUCGAGUGGCGAACGGGUGAGUAACACGUGGGUGAUCUGCCCUGCACUUUGGGAUAAGACUGGGAAACUGGGUCUAAUACCGGAUAGGACCUUCUGUUACUGUGGGUGGUGGAGAGUUUUUCGGUGUGGGAUGAGCUCGCGGCUUAUCAGCUUGUUGGUGGGGUAAUGGCUUACCAAGGCGUCGACGGGUAGCCGGCCUGAGAGGGUGUACGGCCACAUUGGGACUGAGAUACGGCCCAGACUCCUACGGGAGGCAGCAGUGGGGAAUAUUGCACAAUGGGCGGAAGCCUGAUGCAGCAACGCCGCGUGCGGGAUGACGGCCUUCGGGUUGUAAACCGCUUUCGCCUGUGACGAAGCGUGAGUGACGGUAAUGGGUAAAGAAGCACCGGCUAACUACGUG